Molecule: ribosomal RNA, 468 nt
Filed under: uncultured bacterium
Lineage: Bacteria
Description: partial 16S ribosomal RNA
Rfam family: Bacterial small subunit ribosomal RNA
Source: RNAcentral
GACGAACGCUGGCGGCGUGCUUAACACAUGCAAGUCGAACGGAAAGGCCCUGCUUUUGUGGGGUGCUCGAGUGGCGAACGGGUGAGCAACACGUGAGUAACCUGCCCUUGACUUUGGGAUAACUUCAGGAAACUGGGGCUAAUACCGGAUAGGAGCUCCUGCUGCAUGGUGGGGGUUGGAAAGUUUCGGCGGUUGGGGAUGGACUCGCGGCUUAUCAGCUUGUUGGUGGGGUAGUGGCUUACCAAGGCUUUGACGGGUAGCCGGCCUGAGAGUGUGACCGGCCACAUUGGGACUGAGAUACGGCCCAGACUCCUACGGGAGGCAGCAGUGGGGAAUAUUGCACAAUGGGCGGAAGCCUGAUGCAGCAACGCCGCGUGCGGGAUGACGGCCUUCGGGUUGUAAACCGCUUUCGCCUGUGACGAAGCGUGAGUGACGGUAAUGGGUAAAGAAGCACCGGCUAACUACGUG